This 639-nucleotide long non-coding RNA is filed under the name Nicotiana benthamiana. RNAcentral describes it as "long non-coding RNA (NBEN_LNC011928)". Lineage: Eukaryota; Viridiplantae; Streptophyta; Magnoliopsida; Solanales; Solanaceae. The record is from RNAcentral.
AAGGAUUAAGCUUAUGAACCUGUUGAGGGAGAGAGAAGAAUCUGCUAGAUUAUGGGCUACAUCUUUCAGUCCACAUAGUAUGAAGUUAUACAAUGAGUACCUGAAGAUAGCUAAUAGAUGUUUUGUUAACUCCAAUGGUGACUCUGGCUAUGAAGUCAGAGAAGAUGGAGAUACGCACACUGUCAACCUGGCUAUUAAGAGAUGCAUUAUCUAAAGAUAGCUAAUAGAUGUUUUGUUAACUCCAAUUGUGAAUUUGGCUAUGAAGUCAGAGAAGAUGGAGAUACGCACAUUGUCAACAUGGCUAUGAAGAGAUGCACAUGUAGGGGAUGGGAUCUCACUGGAAUUCCAUGCCCCCAUACCAUUAAAGCUAUUUAGUACAAGAAGAUGGAUCAUUUGGAGGAAAUAAAUUGGUGGUAUAGCAAAGAAGCAUAAAUGCUUACUUAUAUACACAAAUUGCAGCCAGUUAGGGGUGAAAAAUUUUGGAAAGUUGAAGAAUCUCAAGCAAUGAAACCACCUGAGUUAGUCAAAAUACAUGCUUACUUAUAAACAGAAAUUGCAGCCAGUUAGGGGUGACUAUUUUUGGAAAGUUGAAGAAUCUCAGGCGAUGAAACCACCUGAGUUAGUCAAGUUGGCUGGGAG